Molecule: non-coding RNA, 853 nt
Organism: Microcebus murinus (gray mouse lemur)
Lineage: Eukaryota; Metazoa; Chordata; Mammalia; Primates; Cheirogaleidae
Source: RefSeq, a predicted model, not a curated record
GAAAUUUUUUAAUGCUGCCCAAAGCUUAGUGCUACCAAAUUUCAUUUCAAACAAUAGUCAGAUCAACAACAUAAAUCCUGCUAGUAGGAUAAAAUGCUAUGUUAAGUCAAUGUCCCAAAUACCACAGUCCUCUUUUCCUUUACUCUUCUUACUCCCUGUUUAGUUAGGUGCCACGAUUUGAGGGAUGAGGAGCAGAAGGAUAAGGUGCAGAAGAAGGAAGAAAGAGAGAGUCAGAGACAAAGAGAAGACAGGGAGAGCUCCUGCCAUUCUAAAAACCAUACCUUGUUCCAACAAUGAGAAAUUUUUAUUGUUGGUUGACUUGCGACUUCCAAUAAGCAUUGUUUUGACAAAAGAAAUGAGCAGAAGCAUCUAUGGAUUAUGAAGGACUAGCUCAGUAAACUCCGGAACUGAAUUGUAGCGUAUCAUAAUCAUAUUCCUCACAAUAAAAUCUGCUCACCCUGCCAGAAUGUGUUCUUGAAAUUUUACACAUGGGGCCCAAGAGAAUAAGGCACAGUGCUCCAGCACUCUAGGUUAAUGCCUCAUGAAAAAUGAAAGUAAGAAAAUUAAGAUAAGGAAAUACACAGUAAAGUACUAAGAGGCUACUGCUAACCUGCUAGAGGAUAAAAGGCCACUGGAGGAGAGCCAAGAUGUGCCAGCAACAGCCAGCCAAGCACCUGACCUGAAGGAAGCCAUCGAGGACCAGCCAAGCCCCAGCUGACCCAUUAACUUAUCCAGAAACGGCAGGCGACUCAUGAUAAGCCCAGAGAAGACUAGCAGGGAAACCACCAAAUUGAUCCCAUACCUUUAUUGUGAGCUAAAUAAUGACUGUUUUUUUAAGCCACUUAGUCUUGGG